This 120-nucleotide ribosomal RNA is filed under the name Vigna angularis (adzuki bean). Lineage: Eukaryota; Viridiplantae; Streptophyta; Magnoliopsida; Fabales; Fabaceae. The record is from RNAcentral.
AGGUGCGAUCAUACCAGCACUAAUGCACCGGAUCCCAUCAGAACUCCGCAGUUAAGUGUGCUUGGGCGAGAGUAGUACCCAGGAUGGGUCACCUCCUGGGAAGUCCUUAUGUUGCACCUC